This is an RNA transcript of Sphaeramia orbicularis (orbiculate cardinalfish), 2243 nucleotides long. It is a transcript of the gene named leucine rich repeat transmembrane neuronal 4 like 1, with no coding region annotated. The record is from RefSeq and is a predicted model, not a curated record. The transcript is spliced from 3 exons. NCBI's taxonomy places the organism in Eukaryota, Metazoa, Chordata, Actinopteri, Kurtiformes, Apogonidae.
CCUCUGGAUGUUUGCGCAGAGGACACCUGCCUCUGCACCGAUCCACGCGACGCCACGCAGCUCCUUUGCACCUCUUUAACUUUUGCGCCGCGCGUGGCAUUUUCCAGAUACAUGUAAAUAUAUAUAUAUAUGUAUUUUUUAUUUGCACAUGUUUUAAGUGGACGUCUCCAUCCGGUGGAAAGAAACCGUGCGAGCGUUUUUGACUUCCAACUUGGAACUGUGGAUGGCACGGGUAUCUGUGGAAAGUUGCGCUGCGUCAGGAGGCAUGGGCGCAAACUUUACCAGCUUUUCAUAAUCGACUGACAGUUUUUCUUUGAACAUGAAGGCAGGUGAGUCACACGUAGCGGCUCAAUAGGAAGAAAAUCCACGAUAGACGCGCGGGGGAAGUCGUGAGCCGUGCGGCGGAUUGCGCUACGGAGGACGGAGGGAACAGACGGAUGAGCCAACAUGGGUCCAUUAAUGAGUGAUGGACGACUGGCCCACCUCCUCUUCCCUCUCCUCCUUCUCUUGCGAGCCCCCCUGUUGUACAGUUUUGGCGAACGUACCUGUCCCAAUAACUGCCGAUGUGAAGGAAAAACAGUCCAUUGUGAUUCAUCCGGGUUGUUGGAUGUUCCUGAGAACAUCUCAGUGGGCUGCCAGGGCCUGUCACUGCGCUACAAUGAUCUCCACACUUUGCUCCCAUAUCAGUUUGCUCAUCUUAGCCAACUUCUCUGGAUAUACCUAGACCACAACCAGAUUUCUGCAGUGGACAGCAGAGCAUUUCAAGGGGUUCGAAGGCUUAAAGAGCUCAUACUCAGCUCCAACAGGAUCACAUCUCUGCACAAUUCAACAUUCCAUGGAAUUCCUAAUCUUCGCAGUCUGGACUUGUCAUAUAACAAAUUAGAAAUCCUGCAGCCAGGUCAAUUCCACGGCCUAAGAAAGCUGCAAAACCUUCACCUUCGCUCCAACGGUCUCUCUAACAUCCCCAUUCGUGCUUUUCUGGAGUGCAGAAGUUUGGAGUUUCUGGAUUUGGGCUACAAUCGAAUUAAGGCUCUGACCCGAACAACCUUUUUAGGGCUCCAGAAGCUCAUGGAGUUGCAUCUGGAGCACAACCAGUUCUCUCGGAUCAACUUUUUUCUGUUUCCACGCUUAGCCAACCUGAGAUCACUCUAUCUGCAAUGGAACCGGAUAAGGGUGGUCAACCAAGGCCUUCCGUGGACUUGGUACACACUGCAGAAAUUGGAUCUGUCUGGGAAUGAAAUCCAGAUCCUGGACCCGGCUGUGUUUCACUGCUUGCCCAACCUUCAAGUCCUCAACCUGGAAUCCAACAAACUCUCUAACGUGUCUCAGGAGGCGGUUUCUGCUUGGAUCUCCCUGACCUCCAUCAGCCUUGCUGGUAACAUGUGGGACUGUGGACCUGGCAUAUGCCCCCUUGUGGCUUGGCUGAGGAAUUUCCGGGGUAGUAAGGACACCACUAUGAUAUGCAGCAGCCCAAAGUAUCUCCAGGGAGAGAAAAUAAUGGAAGUCACUCGGAACCAUGGUAUUUGUGAGGAAACUGAUUAUGUUCUGACAGAAACACCAUCACCGAUGUCAGAGCUUAUUUCUGAGGCAACUGCUGAACCAACCUUUGGCCCUACUAGUGGUUCUCCACCUGUUCCGUCAACCAACACUCUUGGUCCUCUACCCCCUUUCAGACCACGACCUAUUCCUCACCCUACCUUCCCGGGACACAUGAGCAAAGACCCGAGAGACUCCGUUUCUCGCGCAAGACCAACUCAUCCGCCACCACCAGAGAUUGAGCACAUGACUCUGCACAAGGUGGUGGUUGGCAGCGUGGCACUCUUCUUCACCAUGUCUCUGAUCUUGACAAUUAUCUAUGUGUUGUGGCGUCGCUACCCAAGUGCAACCAGGUUGCUGCAGCAGCGAUCUAUGGUGGGACGGAAGCGCCGCAAAAAGAGCCCAGAGCCCGAGCAGGACCUGAGCUCCCAGCUGCAAGAGUAUUAUAUGAGCUACAACCCUGCUGCCACACCAGAGGCAUUGGAGGUGCUGGGAAAUGGCACCGGUUCCUGCACUUGCACAAUUUCUGGCUCCAGGGAGUGUGAGGUAUGACCCAUCGCAUCAGCCUAAAAAUAAAAACUCAAAAUCAAAACACAAAGGCUCAACAGAGAGAACGAGUACACGUGUCCACGCCCCCUACCUGGUGCCUGGCUGGGAGACAUGCCUACUAUCCAUUAGCUUAAAAGGGAAAAAAAAAAGGAACUGCA